AUGUACAGCGUGGAGAGGCGCGCUCCUGCCCGAGCUCCUGUGCCCGCGCCUCGCGCCUCCUUGCACCGCUCCGGUGGCCACUCGCCACCCGCCGUCGCCAGCGACCGUCGCACCUCUCCGCGCGCCACCCUGAGGCUCCAGCCACGCCGCGCCGCCGUCCUCCGCAACCCCGGCCGACUCCUCGAUCUCGCCUCUCCGUGCGAACAAACGGCGUCGCCGCCGGCGGCCACGGCCACCGUGCUUGAGCUGACGGGCGCCGACCGCACGGGGCUCAUCUUCGAGGUGUUCGCCGUGCUGGCCGACAUGAGCUGCAGCGUCUUCGAUGCCAGGGCGUGGUCACAUCGCGGCCGCCUCGCCUGCCUCGUCUACCUGCGGGACGAGGAUGUGGCCGCCGCCGGUGUGGAGCGCAUCGACGGUCAAGGCCCGCCUCGCCCCCCUCCUCCGCGGAGACUCGGAAGCCAGCGGUCACCAAAACUUCUGCUCCCAAGGGCCCCUUUUCCAUCCGCCGUCACCGCGCUCCGAGCGUGA
RNAcentral lists this ribosomal RNA (528 nucleotides) under Triticum aestivum (bread wheat). Its description in RNAcentral is "partial small subunit ribosomal RNA". The record is from RNAcentral. Lineage: Eukaryota; Viridiplantae; Streptophyta; Magnoliopsida; Poales; Poaceae.